This 1268-nucleotide ribosomal RNA is filed under the name Arthrobacter sp. 193. RNAcentral's name for it is "bacterial SSU rRNA". It matches the Rfam family "Bacterial small subunit ribosomal RNA", at positions 62 to 1340 of the family's 1533-position model. The record is from RNAcentral. Lineage: Bacteria; Bacillati; Actinomycetota; Actinomycetes; Micrococcales; Micrococcaceae.
UCGAACGAUGAUCCGGUGCUUGCACCGGGGAUUAGUGGCGAACGGGUGAGUAACACGUGAGUAACCUGCCCUUAACUCUGGGAUAAGCCUGGGAAACUGGGUCUAAUACCGGAUAUGACUGAUCAUCGCAUGGUGGUUGGUGGAAAGCUUUUUGUGGUUUUGGAUGGACUCGCGGCCUAUCAGCUUGUUGGUGAGGUAAUGGCUUACCAAGGCGACGACGGGUAGCCGGCCUGAGAGGGUGACCGGCCACACUGGGACUGAGACACGGCCCAGACUCCUACGGGAGGCAGCAGUGGGGAAUAUUGCACAAUGGGCGCAAGCCUGAUGCAGCGACGCCGCGUGAGGGAUGACGGCCUUCGGGUUGUAAACCUCUUUCAGUAGGGAAGAAGCGAAAGUGACGGUACCUGCAGAAGAAGCGCCGGCUAACUACGUGCCAGCAGCCGCGGUAAUACGUAGGGCGCAAGCGUUAUCCGGAAUUAUUGGGCGUAAAGAGCUCGUAGGCGGUUUGUCGCGUCUGCCGUGAAAGUCCGGGGCUCAACUCCGGAUCUGCGGUGGGUACGGGCAGACUAGAGUGAUGUAGGGGAGACUGGAAUUCCUGGUGUAGCGGUGAAAUGCGCAGAUAUCAGGAGGAACACCGAUGGCGAAGGCAGGUCUCUGGGCAUUAACUGACGCUGAGGAGCGAAAGCAUGGGGAGCGAACAGGAUUAGAUACCCUGGUAGUCCAUGCCGUAAACGUUGGGCACUAGGUGUGGGGGACAUUCCACGUUUUCCGCGCCGUAGCUAACGCAUUAAGUGCCCCGCCUGGGGAGUACGGCCGCAAGGCUAAAACUCAAAGGAAUUGACGGGGGCCCGCACAAGCGGCGGAGCAUGCGGAUUAAUUCGAUGCAACGCGAAGAACCUUACCAAGGCUUGACAUGAACCGGAAAGACCUGGAAACAGGUGCCCCGCUUGCGGUCGGUUUACAGGUGGUGCAUGGUUGUCGUCAGCUCGUGUCGUGAGAUGUUGGGUUAAGUCCCGCAACGAGCGCAACCCUCGUUCUAUGUUGCCAGCACGUGAUGGUGGGGACUCAUAGGAGACUGCCGGGGUCAACUCGGAGGAAGGUGGGGACGACGUCAAAUCAUCAUGCCCCUUAUGUCUUGGGCUUCACGCAUGCUACAAUGGCCGGUACAAAGGGUUGCGAUACUGUGAGGUGGAGCUAAUCCCAAAAAGCCGGUCUCAGUUCGGAUUGGGGUCUGCAACUCGACCCCAUGAAGUCGGAGUUCGCUAGUA